RNAcentral lists this long non-coding RNA (3004 nucleotides) under Brassica napus (rape). RNAcentral's name for it is "long non-coding RNA (BNAP_LNC011081)". The stretch from base 2022 to 2128 matches the Rfam family "Plant small nucleolar RNA R71". The record is from RNAcentral. Lineage: Eukaryota; Viridiplantae; Streptophyta; Magnoliopsida; Brassicales; Brassicaceae.
CCUUAACACACCAAGUUCACCCACCAACACACUCAAUUAAGGUCAAUUUCGAAAAGCCCCAAAUCUAUGAACCCUAAUUUUGUCAAAGUUCAAAUUAAACUCAAUUUCACCAUUAAUUUAACAACCCAAAUUUCGACUUUCAAAUUCUAGGGUUCAUGGACCUACGAAAUUGAAUUUAAAAACUCAAUACCUUGCUUUGGAUGAAAGGAAAUGGUGAAUGGGUGAUGGGGAAUAGAUUACAGGAGCGAAAGGUUGGAUUUAUAAACAAGAACUAGGUGAUUUGAUUGAGAAUUGAGAGAGUUAUGGGACUCUUUUUGGUGUGGGUGAGUUUGAGAGAGUAUGAGUGUUUGUGAGGGGAGGGAGGUUGAGGAAGAUGAAAAUCGAGGGUUGUGGGCUAGGUUUAGGGUCGUCCGGUUUGGUUUAGGUGGGAAGGGAUCGGUCCAAUUAAAUUGAAACCGGGAUUAAAUCAAAAAUCACUUACCUGAACCGGUCGUGGAGCGACCUCGGGGUGUCGCUGUGGUGCGUCGCUCUGGGAUCGACAAACCCGAGCAACCUCGGGGUGUCUCUAUGCUGACCCCGCUCUGGAGAUGGAGCGACUUCGUGUCGUCGCUCUAGGAGGUCGCUUCGAGAGUAUUUUUCGAGCCCAAAACACCGUAAAGCCGAUCGACUUGUUACACUUGCUGAGGUGACGUCGCUCCCAGCUGGAGCGAACUUCCACCUUCGCUCCAGGUCCUCGCUCCAGGUCCUCGCUCCCACGCCCGAUUCUUUGCUCAAACUGGAUCGAUCAAGCACCUGCACAGAACUUCAAUUCUUUUUUUCUUUUUUUUUUUAGAAAUAUGAUGAAAAUGAAAAUACUAAUGCAAUAUGUACAAGGAUAUAUAUGGGACUUCCUCCCAAGUGAGCUUGUUUUAAGUCUCUAGCUUGACUUUGCCUCCUUUUAGAUUAGGCCGGGGUAGGAUCAGAAAGUGGAGUUGAAACCCCAUCUUCCUCUGGUGCAGUCGCCAUGUAGAGCUUAACCCUUUGCCCAUUGACUGUGAAGUCUCUUCCAUCAGUACUCCACAAAACUAUUGCCCCAUAUGGCCUAACCUCCUUGACCUUGAAAGGACCGGACCACCUUGACUUAAGCUUUCCUGGAAAUAACUUCAGCCUAGAGUUGUAGAGAAGAACUUGAUCUCCUUCUUUAAACUCUCUCUACAGGAUAUUCUUGUCAUGGAAAGCUUUAGUCUUCUCCUUGUAGAUCCUUGAGUUCUCAAAAGCAUCCAUUCUUAUCUCAUCAAGCUCAUGUAGCUGAAAAAGCCUUUUCUCCUUGGCACUCUUGAUGUCAAAGUUCAGCAACGUUACUGCCCAUAGUGCCUUGUACUCAAGCUCCACUGGCAGAUGGCAAGCUUUCUCGUACACUAGGUUGAAAGGUGUGGUCCCCAGAGGUGUCUUAUAAGCUGUCCUAUAAGCCCAAAGCGCAUCAUCAAGCUUAAUGGACCAAUCCUUCCUUGUAAUCCCCACAAUCUUCUCCAAAAUGGACUUGAUCUCUCUGUUAGAAAUCUCAACUUGACCACUUGUUUAAGGAUGGUAAGGAGUUGCUACCUUGUGCUUUACACCGUUCUUCUUGAGAAGUCUCUGAAGCAGUUUGUUGAUGAAAUGAGAACCUCCAUCACUGAUCACAACUCUUGGAACUCCAAACCUUGGAAAGAUGAUGCUCCUGAACAUCUUGGUUACAACUCUAGCAUCAUUGGUGGGGCUUGCAAUAGCUUCCACCCAUUUGGAGACAUAAUCAACAGCUACAAGGAUGUAUUUGUUGCCAAAGGAUGAUGGAAAUGGUCUCAUGAAGUCAUACCCCACACAUCAAACACUUCAACUUCAAGGAUUGGAUUUUGAGGCAUCUCAUUCCUUUUGGUGAUGUUCCCUCUCCUUUGGCAGGAAUCACACUUUGAAACAAAGUCUUGUGUAUCCUUAAACAUGUGUGGCCACCAUAAUCCAGCUUGUAGCACAUUUGCAACAGUUUUGAAGGUAGCAAAGUGGCCUCCAUAGGAUGAUCCAGGCUUGUAGCACCUUUGCCCUUGAAUCUCUCCCAGGCUUCACUGAAUCCUUCCAAGUUCUUCUGUUGAAAGCUGGAAAUCUUAUUUCUUAGCUUAGCAGUUCUUGAAGUAGAGAAGAACUUUUCCAUGAAUGCUUUCUUGCAGUCAUCCCAUGUGGUGAUAGAGUCGCUGGGUAGAGACUACUCCCACUGACGUGCUUUAUUCCCCAAAGAGACAGGGAAUAGCUUGAGCUUUAUGGCAUCCUUGGAUACACCAUUGGUUUUUGACAACUCACAGUAGCUGUUGAACCUGUCCAAGUGAUCAAAUGGGUCCUCCAAAGCCUAGCCAUGAUACUUGUUGUUCUCGAUCACGUUGAGGAGUCCUGAUUUGAUCUCAAAGUUGUUAGCUGCCACAGCCGGUGCUCGGAUUCCCAGUCUAUGACCAUGAAUGUUGGGGCCGUCAUAAGUACCAAUGGGUCGAGCUGCUCGUUGUGGGUGUUGUGGAACGUUGUUGGUUCCAUUGGCAUUCGCAUCAUCUUGAGGUUGGUCUCCCAUAUUAAUAUCCAAUCUCUGCAAGUGAGGCUGUUGCUCUUCUUCUCUUCUCUUUCUAGCACACUCUCUCUCUAAAGCUCUGAUGUCUGCAACUGAACUUGGUUUGAUGGACCCUUGCUCCUCAAGUUCAUACACCUGAAAGUAAAAGGGAGGUGAAGAAGGAGGAUCAGUAACAAGAGAAAAAAAAAUAAAAAUAAUUUAGUCUCAAGCAAGUGACUAAAUCCCAAUGUUCAAAUCAACUCAGAAUUUGGCAACGGCGCCAAUUUAAAGUUAAGAGUUUUCAAGGUUCCUAAGAUAAAUGAUGUAGUAUAAAAGAUUGUCGAACCAAUUCUAAGGGAUUUUGGUUUAGGUGGGAAGGGAUCGGUCCAAUUAAAUUGAAACCGGGAUUAAAUCAAAAAUCACUUACCUGAACCGGUCGUGGAGCGACCUCGGGGUGUCGCU